AUGGUGGAGGAGGACGUAGAGAAGACGGCUUUCUUAACCCCGUGCGGGGUGUACUGCUACACCUGCAUGCCGUUCGGGCUACGUAACGCUGGGGCGACCUUCCAGCAGCUGAUGCACAUCGCUCUAGGCCAACAGCUCGGGAGGAACGCUGAGGCCUACGUCGACGACAUUGUGGUGAAAUCUCGGGAGGCAAGGACCCUCAUUGAGGAUCUGGAGGAGACUUUUGCCAGCCUGUGCAAGGUAAACCUGCGGCUCAACCCGGAGAAAUGCGUGUUCGGCGUCCCCUCCGGCAAGCUGCUGGGUUUCCUCAUGUCGCGCAGGGGGAUCGAGGCAAAACCGGAGAAGGUCAAAGAAAUAGAAGACAUGAGCCUGCCACGGACUCUCAAGGAAAUGCAAAAACUCACGGGCUGCCUGACCUCGCUGGGGCGCUUCAUCUCCAAGCUGGGGGAGCGCGCCCUCCCGUUCUUCAAGCUGAUGAAGAAGAAGGGCCCGUUCGAGUGGACCCCGGAGGCUGACAUGGCAUUUCAAGACCUCAAGAGAUACUUAACC
RNAcentral lists this ribosomal RNA (549 nucleotides) under Triticum aestivum (bread wheat). RNAcentral describes it as "partial small subunit ribosomal RNA". Lineage: Eukaryota; Viridiplantae; Streptophyta; Magnoliopsida; Poales; Poaceae. The record is from RNAcentral.